Colossoma macropomum (tambaqui) is the source of this 3241-nucleotide RNA transcript. It is a transcript of the gene named tumor necrosis factor alpha-induced protein 2-like, with no coding region annotated. The transcript is spliced from 13 exons. The record is from RefSeq and is a predicted model, not a curated record. Lineage: Eukaryota; Metazoa; Chordata; Actinopteri; Characiformes; Serrasalmidae.
CUUAAACUGUGCUCCAGAGAAAGUGCUGGCCAGAGCGCCAAAUCUUCCCCCCUCCCAUCAAACAUCAUUGGUGUAGUGGGGAUGCAUAUAUAAAAGAGGACAGAACAAGUAGAUAACUGAGACUUAGCAGAGACGAGAAGAUGAAGAUGAAUAUUAAACCACUAUCCACCAUAGAGAGAGCCAUCUCAUUAUCUAAAUCCAAAUUUUCAAAAUUUCAAAAAGUGAACUUACCAUUUUUCAAGAAAAAUUUGCUGAAUACUGAAGAAGUGCAGGAUGAGUGGCACAGAAAAUGUGUGUGUGACUGUGAAGAAGUGCAGAAUGAUGACAUACAGCCUGCAGAGAUUCCUUUGACUUUUGAGCAGAACCUAAAAGAGCAGCACUUUGCAGUGGCAGGGAAGCAGCUGGUAAACCGUGAGGAGCAUCUGUUUUCAGUAAAACAAGAUGGGGUGGGAUCCAGCAAGAGCCUUGUGGAGGAAGAGGAGGAUAGUGAGGAAAGUCUGAGGAAAGACUUUGAAGACCUUUUGGAGGAGGUAUGGUCAACAGUGGAGAAUUCCUUCGAGGUCCAAACAGAGAACGAGAAAGAGGCGCUAAAACAGGCAGUCCUGGUCAUACAACAAGAGGAGGAGCAGGACAGGAGAUGGGAAGGGGUAGCAGAAAAAGAGCGCCCUCCAUGGAGGCCUCGGUGCUGCAGGUGGACGCACGACUCUCUGCUUCAGAAUAUAGUUCAGCGGCGAAUGGAAGAGGCAAAGUUAGACUCAAACGCUGACAUUAAAUCUUCAAUCCAAAAGGAAAUCAUAGGCAAAGGUAAACAACUUAAGGAGGACCUGCUACACAUUGCAGAACAUGUGAGGAGCUGCUACCCAGGAGAGAAUGUGUGCCAACUGUAUGCCAAAUUAUACCAUCAAGCAUUUUGUGCCAAACUCAGGGAAAUCACUGACUAUGGACUCAGUGAUGAUGACUGCUCACAUGUGCUGCAGUGGGUGAACAUACAUUAUCCCAGUAUCAUGAGGCGUAAAGAGCUUAAAGAGGUUAUUGAAUAUGAACAACUUAAAGCACUCCUACCUGAAAACAUGCUUGAACCACUGGAGGAGCAGUGUUUGCCCGAAAUAGAGGAUAAGCUGCAAACAUGGUGCCAAAAUAUUUUGAAAGAGGAGAAAGCUGAGCCUGAAUUGAGGGAUGGAUGCUACUUCAGCCCUCUGGCCACUGAUGUGAUCGAGUGUGUCCAUGGUGCUAUAAAGUUAGCACAGGAAGUGCUGGGCUCUUGUUCAAAGCCUCAGAGGAUCACACACCAGAUUAAAGAAUUCUUCAUUUAUUACCAGGAUUACCUUAAGAGCAUGACUGAGGGUAAUCAGGGGAACACUGACGCUGUACUGAAGGCCAACCUUUUGUGUAUCAGACAAUUCAGGGAAUACAUGACAAUGAAUCAAGAACUCUUUCCUGCACAUAUCAAGUCCGACUGUAUGAAUUUGCUGGUCAGCAUAAGAGAACUUUGCCAUGGCUAUUUCACCAAGUCUGUCCAGAAAGAUCUGAAGGGGACAUAUGCCAAACUGGGUACUAGUGAGUGGCUCAAACACAGUGAACAUGUGUGUGGUGAGCUGCUUGAAGGAGUGGACACACACAUUCAGAAACUCACUAACUUGGAUGAAACAUGCUUUAAGGACCUGCUCAGUCAUCUUCACAAAGAAGUGCUGGCAGAGUAUGUAAGGACACUGAUGAAGAAGAAGAUCAAACUUGGAGAUGAGAAGAUACAACAACAGGCAGCUGAAGCAUUAUGUGACAACAACCAGAGAAUACACAGCCUGUUUAUUGAAGCUGGGUCAAAAAUGGAUGACCUGGAAGACGUCCUGCCAAGACUUGCUGAAGUGCUGACACUGAAAGCUGUACACUUUAUUGAAUUUGAGCUUAUGAAUCUAUCCAAAAGCUACCCUGACUUCAGUGAAGCUCAUGUCUGUGCCUGGCUGCAUCUCAAGGCGACCCUCUCUACCUCAGAGCUCAGAAUGAUCAGGAAGACUUUCUCAGAGUUAAGGGAGCUAAACACACCAAAAGAAAUUGAUAAUCAGGAGCUGGAUCCGCUCUACUCAAGCAGAGAUUUCUUCUCUAAAGUGCUUGUGUAACAGGCCUUUGUUAUGCUGCACAACAGUCCCUCAUCCACAUGUUGAGUUGUAUUUAAAAUGUUUUAUGAAAUGCACUGUAGAUCUAUUUAAUUUCAUAUCAUUGUUAAUGCAUUACAAUGCUUUGUUUUUUCAAUGCUGUUUUUUAAAUUUUUUGGUAAUAAUACGCAUUAAUAUAAAUAUUUUUACAUAAAUGUCUGUGUGUAAUACUUGCAUUUGCCUUUUUGCAGGGUCAUUCUGGUAUUCAUUUGGACUGAACCAGAAGCCUGCAGUAUAGAAAUCACAGGAAAGACACUACUUCUGUUACAAACAAGGGCUGAUUUCUUAUUUGUGAUGCUGCUUCCAGCACAGCUACAAAGUCUCUUCCCUAAAUGAUUUACACAUCCAGGAAGAGAAGGAUUUUGUAGAGUAGGUGUUUAAAUAACACAAGAUACUUUCUGUAGAAUUCAAAACAACUUGAAGUGGAACUGGCAGUAGCAGUUAACCCGUUUACGUGGUUGAUUGCAGUGGGUGGAAAUCAUGAUAUACGUUGUUUGUGUAUUUCAUAUACAAAACUGAAUUUACUUUCGAAGUGAUUUAACAUCAUUGAACAUCGAGACACAGAGAAGCUUCAUCACAGUGACACAGUUUAUAGAAGCAAAGGACAAGAAGCAAUUAUUUCUCCUUAUGUUUUGUAGUUUAAUCACUGAAUAAAGUAUCAGUUCAUUAGAAGUGGUUGUCAGCUAAUGAACUUACACCUUCAUUAGGUAAUAAAACAAUAAAUCUUUUAACAAUUUUUAAUAAGUCAUAGUGCAAUCUCAGUUACAAACCCUGCCUCCUCAACAUGUGGCUUUUCAGCUUCAUUUUACAUGACCAUUUUUUCUCAUUCUUUGUUUCUGCAGUGCUCCGGACAGCGUCUCGCCAGCAUCAGCUCUCCUCUGGAUCACAGAAAGCACCCCCCUCUCAGGCUGAUAAUGCAUUCCUGAUGAAUUUUGUUCUCUCCAGAGUUUCUAGAAGAUUUUAAAGAGUAUUUCGUAAUGCGCAGUUCCAGGACUGGACACCAGGGGCCCCUGUCCCCAGUCACAUUCACUCCCGACAGUCCCAAUACUGGCAAUCAGAAGUCCCAAUUACCAGAAUACUUACCUGUUUCU